CAACCAUUUCAAUUAGCUUCUUCUUCCUCUUUUUUUUUUUUUUUUUUUCACAAUUUUCAUAUUUGAUGCUGAAUUGCUGGCCGAUGAGGAAGAAAUCCCAGGAAUAGGAAGUGCCGUAUGACACUUUUAAAAAAUGCAGCCGAUAGAGAGAGCGGCGGGCACGCUUUUCCCAUCCACCGAUUUCAGGGCAAUCUUUGCGUGUGUUGCAAUUUUUGUUUUGUUUAAUUGGUCGGGUUUUGCAAGUCCGAUUUCACCGUCUCCCUCUUUCGCUGCGUGGUUGAUUUGAAACGGGUCUCUGAGAGGAUGAAGUAUUUUAAGUCAGCAGGGGAGAAAACAAGCUCAUUAAGCGAGAUAUGGCAGUGGGCGGGCUGACCUGUUAAUUUGCGAUGAAUUUCACUAGUCUCAAGAGGAACAUUUCCAGGCUUCCUUCGGUUGUUCUUACCCCCUAUGACAUAUUGACAUGGAAGGGAAAAAAUCCACCUUUGUAUUUUCAUGACGUGUCAAACUUGAGAUUCUGUGUCAACAACUAGAAUUCUCUAAAUCAAAGAAGUGGCUAGGCAAUGAUUUGGGGCUUAGAAUAGCAUUUGACCAGAUGAGCUCAAUCUUGAUAUUGGUAGAAGUCAACUUGGAAAUGUCCAUUCUUGAGCUGUCAUGGUAAGCGGUAACUUGGAAACGUCCAUUGUGUGCCAAGGC
Coffea arabica (coffee) is the source of this 693-nucleotide non-coding RNA. Lineage: Eukaryota; Viridiplantae; Streptophyta; Magnoliopsida; Gentianales; Rubiaceae. The record is from RefSeq and is a predicted model, not a curated record.